CCCCUAGAUGUUCUGGGCCGCACGCGCGCUACACUGAACAGUUCAACAAGUCUUAACCUUGGCCGAUAGGUCUGGGUAAUCUUUGAACGCUGUUCGUGAUUGGGAUAGACCUUUGCAAUUAUGGGUCUUCAACGAGGAAUUCCUAGUAAACGCAAGUCAUCAGCUUGCAUUGAUUACGUCCCUGCCCUUUGUACACACCGCCCGUCGCACCUACCGAUUGAAUGGUCCGGUGAAUUAGUCGGAUGGUGUUUGGCAUCAGUAUCUGCUGUCAUACGCCAGAAGUCUUGUGAACCUUAUCACUUAGAGGAAGGAGAAGUCGUAACA
This 324-nucleotide ribosomal RNA is filed under the name uncultured eukaryote. RNAcentral's name for it is "partial 18S ribosomal RNA". It matches the Rfam family "Eukaryotic small subunit ribosomal RNA", at positions 1470 to 1796 of the family's 1831-position model. The record is from RNAcentral.